RNAcentral lists this ribosomal RNA (256 nucleotides) under uncultured bacterium. RNAcentral describes it as "partial 16S ribosomal RNA". It matches the Rfam family "Bacterial small subunit ribosomal RNA", at positions 524 to 776 of the family's 1533-position model. The record is from RNAcentral.
UACGGAGGGGGCUAGCGUUGUUCGGAAUUACUGGGCGUAAAGCGCACGUAGGCGGCUUUGUAAGUUAGAGGUGAAAGCCCCAGGGCUUAACCCUGGAAUUGCCUUUAAGACUGCAUCGCUAGAAUUGUGGAGAGGUAAGUGGAAUUCCGAGUGUAGAGGUGAAAUUCGUAGAUAUUCGGAAGAACACCAGUGGCGAAGGCGACUUACUGGACACAUAUUGACGCUGAGGUGGCGAAAAGCGUGGGGAGCAAACAGG